GGCAACCCUUGAGUACAGCGGCGGACGGGUGAGCAAUACGUAGGUAACCUGCCUUUCAGUGGGGGACAACAGUUCGAAAGGACUGCUAAUACCGCAUCCGUCGCUUGGGACUCCGGUCCUGAGUGGGAAAGCCGGGGCAACCUGGCGCUGAAAGAGGGGCCUACGUCGCAUCAGCUAGUUGGUGGGGUAAUGGCCCACCAAGGCGAAGACGCGUAGCUGGUCUGAGAGGAUGAUCAGCCACACUGGGACUGAGACACGGCCCAGACUCCUACGGGAGGCAGCAGUGGGGAAUAUUGGACAAUGGGCGCAAGCCUGAUCCAGCCACGCCGCGUGAGUGAUGAAGGCCUUCGGG
This 352-nucleotide ribosomal RNA is filed under the name uncultured bacterium. RNAcentral describes it as "bacterial SSU rRNA". It matches the Rfam family "Bacterial small subunit ribosomal RNA", at positions 78 to 422 of the family's 1533-position model. The record is from RNAcentral.